Molecule: ribosomal RNA, 434 nt
Filed under: uncultured Acetivibrio sp.
Lineage: Bacteria; Bacillati; Bacillota; Clostridia; Acetivibrionales; Acetivibrionaceae
Description: bacterial SSU rRNA
Rfam family: Bacterial small subunit ribosomal RNA
Source: RNAcentral
ACGGGAGGCAGCAGUGGGGGAUAUUGCGCAAUGGGGGGAACCCUGACGCAGCAACGCCGCGUGAAGGAAGACGGUUUUCGGAUUGUAAACUUCUUUAAGUGUGGAAGAAGAUGACGGUACACACAGAAUAAGCCACGGCUAACUACGUGCCAGCAGCCGCGGUAAUACGUAGGUGGCGAGCGUUGUCCGGAUUUACUGGGUGUAAAGGGCGUGUAGGCGGGAUUACAAGUCAGAUGUGAAAUACCGAGGCUUAACUUCGGGGCUGCAUUUGAAACUGUAGUUCUUGAGUGCUGGAGAGGAAAGCGGAAUUCCUAGUGUAGCGGUGAAAUGCGUAGAUAUUAGGAAGAACACCAGUGGCGAAGGCGAUCUACUGGACGAUAACUGACGCUGAGGCGCGAAAGCGUGGGGAGCAAACAGGAUUAGACACCCUGGUA